AGACCGGCGCACGGGUGAGUAACGCGUAUGCAACCUACCUUAUACAGGGGAAUAGCCCGAAGAAAUUCGGAUUAAUGCUCCAUGGUUUAUCGAUAUGGCAUCGUAUUGAUAAUAAAGAUUUAUCGGUAUAAGAUGGGCAUGCGUAUCAUUAGCUAGUUGGUGUGGUAACGGCAUACCAAGGCAACGAUGAUUAGGGGUCCUGAGAGGGAGAUCCCCCACACUGGUACUGAGACACGGACCAGACUCCUACGGGAGGCAGCAGUGAGGAAUAUUGGUCAAUGGAGGCAACUCUGAACCAGCCAUGCCGCGUGCAGGAUGACGGUCCUAUGGAUUGUAAACUGCUUUUGUACAGGAAGAAACCUCCCUACGAGUAGGGACUUGACGGUACUGUAAGAAUAAGGAUCGGCUAACUCCGUGCCAGCAGCCGCGGUAAUACGGAGGAUCCGAGCGUUAUCCGGAAUUAUUGGGUUUAAAGGGUUCGUAGGCGGCUUUAUAAGUCAGUGGUGAAAUUUCCUAGCUUAACUAGGACACUGCCAUUGAUACUGCAGAGCUUGAAUAGUAUGGAAGUAACUAGAAUAUGUAGUGUAGCGGUGAAAUGCUUAGAUAUUACAUGGAAUACCAAUUGCGAAGGCAGGUUACUACGUACUUAUUGACGCUGAUGAACGAAAGCGUGGGGAGCGAACAGGAUUAGAUACCCUGGUAGUCCACGCCGUAAACGAUGGAUACUAGCUGUUCGGUUUUCGGACUGAGUGGCUAAGCGAAAGUGAUAAGUAUCCCACCUGGGGAGUACGUUCGCAAGAAUGAAACUCAAAGGAAUUGACGGGGGCCCGCACAAGCGGUGGAGCAUGUGGUUUAAUUCGAUGAUACGCGAGGAACCUUACCAGGGCUUAAAUGUAGAUUGACAGAUUUGGAAACAGAUUUUUCUUCGGACAAUUUACAAGGUGCUGCAUGGUUGUCGUCAGCUCGUGCCGUGAGGUGUCAGGUUAAGUCCUAUAACGAGCGCAACCCCUAUUGUUAGUUACCAGCGCGUAGUGGCGGGGACUCUAGCAAGACUGCCGGUGCAAACCGUGAGGAAGGUGGGGAUGACGUCAAAUCAUCACGGCCCUUACGUCCUGGGCUACACACGUGCUACAAUGGCAAGUACAGAAAGCAGCUACCUGGCAACAGGAUGCGAAUCUCCAAAGCUUGUCUCAGUUCGGAUUGGAGUCUGCAACUCGACUCUAUGAAGCUGGAAUCGCUAGUAAUCGGAUAUCAGCCAUGAUCCGGUGAAUACGUUCCCGGGCCUUGUACACACCGCCCGUCAAGCCAUGGAAGCUGGGGGUACCUGAAGUCGGUGAC
Molecule: ribosomal RNA, 1338 nt
Filed under: Myroides profundi
Lineage: Bacteria; Pseudomonadati; Bacteroidota; Flavobacteriia; Flavobacteriales; Flavobacteriaceae
Description: 16S ribosomal RNA
Rfam family: Bacterial small subunit ribosomal RNA
Source: RNAcentral